GUACUUGCUUCGGCAGCACAUAUACUAAAAUUGGAAUAAUACAGAGAAGAUUAUCAUGGCCCCUGCACAAUAUGACAUGCUAAUUCAUGAAGCAGUCCAUAUUUUU
Lemur catta (Ring-tailed lemur) is the source of this 106-nucleotide small nuclear RNA. Lineage: Eukaryota; Metazoa; Chordata; Mammalia; Primates; Lemuridae. The record is from RefSeq and is a predicted model, not a curated record.